This 497-nucleotide ribosomal RNA is filed under the name uncultured bacterium. Its description in RNAcentral is "partial 16S ribosomal RNA". It matches the Rfam family "Bacterial small subunit ribosomal RNA", at positions 28 to 507 of the family's 1533-position model. The record is from RNAcentral.
GAUGAACGCUGGCGGCGUGCCUAAUACAUGCAAGUCGAGCGAACAGACGAGGAGCUUGCUCCUCUGACGUUAGCGGCGGACGGGUGAGUAACACGUGGAUAACCUACCUAUAAGACUGGGAUAACUUCGGGAAACCGGAGCUAAUACCGGAUAAUAUAUUGAACCGCAUGGUUCAAUAGUGAAAGACGGUUUUGCUGUCACUAAUAGAUGGAUCCGCGCCGCAUUAGCUAGUUGGUAAGGUAACGGCUUACCAAGGCAACGAUGCGUAGCCGACCUGAGAGGGUGAUCGGCCACACUGGAACUGAGACACGGUCCAGACUCCUACGGGAGGCAGCAGUAGGGAAUCUUCCGCAAUGGGCGAAAGCCUGACGGAGCAACGCCGCGUGAGUGAUGAAGGUCUUCGGAUCGUAAAACUCUGUUAUUAGGGAAGAACAAAUGUGUAAGUAACUAUGGACGUCUUGACGGUACCUAAUCAGAAAGCCCCGGCUAACUACGUG